RNAcentral lists this long non-coding RNA (307 nucleotides) under Manihot esculenta (cassava). RNAcentral describes it as "long non-coding RNA (MESC_LNC011422)". Lineage: Eukaryota; Viridiplantae; Streptophyta; Magnoliopsida; Malpighiales; Euphorbiaceae. The record is from RNAcentral.
UUAUAUUAUAUGGUUGAUGUUCUGCUUCUGCUGCUUAAUAUGUCUGAUGCUAUACUGAAUUCAUUUGACAUCCUUUGGGAAAAUUACUAUAACAUAUAAUUUUAAAGUUAAUUAAAAUAUUUUUUUAUUUGGUUCUUUUGUGAGGAAUUUUAUAGUCAAUUAGUUAAAAGAGAGUACAAUUUCAAAUUUUAAAACUAUGCUUCUCCUUCAAAAUCUUCACUUGUUUAUCCUCAUUUAAUAAAACCACCAAUCCAAAACUAGCUGAACUCUCCCACCUCCACCUUGUUCUCCUAUCUCUGGAUUCNNN